Molecule: microRNA precursor, 63 nt
Filed under: Chrysemys picta bellii (western painted turtle)
Lineage: Eukaryota; Metazoa; Chordata; Testudines; Emydidae
Also listed under: 8 other names
Description: Cpi-Mir-193-P2b_pre stem-loop
Rfam family: mir-365 microRNA precursor family
Source: RNAcentral
GAGGGACUUUCAGGGGCAGCUGUGUUUUACUAACCCAGUCAUAAUGCCCCUAAAAAUCCUUAU